GACGAACGCUGGCGGCGUGCUUAACACAUGCAAGUCGAACGGAAAGGCCUGCUUUCCCUUGUGGAUUGCGGGUACUCGAGUGGCUAACGGGUGAGUAACACGUGAGUGAUCUGCCCCCAACUUGGGUAUAAGCCUGGGAAACUGGGUCUAAUUCCCGAUAGGACUGCAGGGUGGUGCCUGUGGUGGAAAACGAUUUUCUAGUGGUUGGGGAUGAGCUCGCGGCCUAUCAGCUUGUUGGUGGGGUAAUGGCCUACCAAGGCGGCGACGGGUAGCCGGCCUGAGAGGGUGGACGGCCACAUUGGGACUGAGAUACGGCCCAGACUCCUACGGGAGGCAGCAGUGGGGAAUAUUGCACAAUGGGCGGAAGCCUGAUGCAGCGACGCCGCGUGGGGGAUGACGGCCUUCGGGUUGUAAACUCCUUUCGACCGCGAGGAAGCCACCUGGUUGGAAGGGUGGUGACGGUAGUGGUAGAAGAAGCACCGGCUAACUACGUG
RNAcentral lists this ribosomal RNA (494 nucleotides) under uncultured bacterium. RNAcentral describes it as "partial 16S ribosomal RNA". It matches the Rfam family "Bacterial small subunit ribosomal RNA", at positions 28 to 507 of the family's 1533-position model. The record is from RNAcentral.